AAGUGAAAUGAUGGUAACCAUCUUUCGGGACUGACCUGAAAUGGAGAGAACUUUCUUUCUGAUCGCUU
Molecule: small nucleolar RNA, 68 nt
Organism: Bufo bufo (common toad)
Lineage: Eukaryota; Metazoa; Chordata; Amphibia; Anura; Bufonidae
Product: small nucleolar RNA SNORD2
Exons: 1
Source: RefSeq, a predicted model, not a curated record